UUAGCAUAUCAAUAAGCGGAGGAAAAGAAACUAACAAGGAUUCCCCUAGUAACUGCGAGUGAAGCGGGAAAAGCUCAAAUUUAAAAUCUGGCGGUCUUUGGCCGUCCGAGUUGUAGUCUGGAGAAGUGCUUUCCGCGCUGGACCGUGUACAAGUCUCUUGGAACAGAGCGUCAUAGAGGGUGAGAAUCCCGUCUUUGACACGGACUACCAGUGCUUUGUGAUGCGCUCUCAAAGAGUCGAGUUGUUUGGGAAUGCAGCUCAAAAUGGGUGGUAAAUUCCAUCUAAAGCUAAAUAUUGGCGAGAGACCGAUAGCGAACAAGUACCGUGAGGGAAAGAUGAAAAGCACUUUGGAAAGAGAGUUAAACAGUACGUGAAAUUGCUGAAAGGGAAACGCUUGAAGUCAGUCGCGUCGGCCAGGACUCAGCCUUGCUUUUUUGCUUGGUGCAYUUUCUGGUUGACGGGCCAGCAUCGAUUUUGACCGCUGGAAAAAGGCCAGGGGAAUGUGGCACCUUCGGGUGUGUUAUAGCCCUUAGUCACAUACAGUGGUUGGGAUCGAGGACCGCAGCACGCCUUUAUGGCCGGGGUUCGCCCACGUUCGUGCUUAGGAUGCUGGCGUAAUGGCUUUAAACGACCCGUCUUGAAACACGGACCAAGGAGUCUAACAUGCCUGCGAGUGUUUGGGUGGAAAACCCGAGCGCGUAAUGAAAGUGAAAGUUGAGAUCCCUGUCGUGGGGAGCAUCGACGCCCGGACCUGAACUUCGGUGAUGGAUCUGCGGUAGAGCAUGUAUGUUGGGACCCGAAAGAUGGUGAACUAUGCCUGAAUAGGGUGAAGCCAGAGGAAACUCUGGUGGAGGCUCGUAGCGAUUCUGACGUGCAAAUCGAUCGUCAAAUUUGGGUAUAGGGGCGAAAGACUAAUCGAACCAUCUAGUAGCUGGUUCCUGCC
Molecule: ribosomal RNA, 943 nt
Filed under: Fomitopsis meliae
Lineage: Eukaryota; Fungi; Basidiomycota; Agaricomycetes; Polyporales; Fomitopsidaceae
Description: LSU rRNA
Rfam family: Eukaryotic large subunit ribosomal RNA
Source: RNAcentral